Molecule: ribosomal RNA, 253 nt
Filed under: uncultured bacterium
Lineage: Bacteria
Description: partial 16S ribosomal RNA
Rfam family: Bacterial small subunit ribosomal RNA
Source: RNAcentral
UACGUAGGGUGCGAGCGUUAAUCGGAAUUACUGGGCGUAAAGAGCGCGCAGGCGGUCGUUCAAGUCGAGUGUGAAAGCCCCCGGCUCAACUGGGGAGGGUCAUUCGAUACUGAUCGACUCGAAGGCAGGAGAGGGAAGCGGAAUUCCCGGUGUAGUGGUGAAAUGCGUAGAUAUCGGGAGGAACACCAGUGGCGAAGGCGGCUUCCUGGCCUGUUCUUGACGCUGAGGCGCGAAAGCUAGGGGAGCAAACGGG